GAAUAUGAAGCAAAAUUUGCAAUUAGUUUCGCCCUAAUCUUAGAUAAUUAAAUAUCCUUAUUCU
This 64-nucleotide transfer RNA is filed under the name Nemorilla maculosa. Its description in RNAcentral is "tRNA-Arg". Lineage: Eukaryota; Metazoa; Arthropoda; Insecta; Diptera; Tachinidae. The record is from RNAcentral.